UGGUGGGUAGUUUGACUGGGGCGGUCUCCUCCUAAAGAGUAACGGAGGAGCACGAAGGUUGGCUAAUCCUGGUCGGACAUCAGGAGGUUAGUGCAAUGGCAUAAGCCAGCUUGACUGCGAGCGUGACGGCGCGAGCAGGUGCGAAAGCAGGUCAUAGUGAUCCGGUGGUUCUGAAUGGAAGGGCCAUCGCUCAACGGAUAAAAGGUACUCCGGGGAUAACAGGCUGAUACCGCCCAAGAGUUCAUAUCGACGGCGGUGUUUGGCACCUCGAUGUCGGCUCAUCACAUCCUGGGGCUGAAGUAGGUCCCAAGGGUAUGGCUGUUCGCCAUUUAAAGUGGUACGCGAGCUGGGUUUAGAACGUCGUGAGACAGUUCGGUCCCUAUCUGCCGUGGGCGCUGGAGAACUGAGGGGGGCUGCUCCUAGUACGAGAGGACCGGAGUGGACGCAUCACUGGUGUUCGGGUUGUCAUGCCAAUGGCACUGCCCGGUAGCUAAAUGCGGAAGAGAUAAGUGCUGAAAGCAUCUAAGCACGAAACUUGCCCCGAGAUGAGUUCUCCCUGACUCCUUGAGAGUCCUGAAGGAACGUUGAAGACGACGACGUUGAUAGGCCGGGUGUGUAAGCGCAGCGAUGCGUUGAGCUAACCGGUACUAAUGAACCGUGAGGCUUAACCUUA
Molecule: ribosomal RNA, 673 nt
Filed under: Escherichia coli
Lineage: Bacteria; Pseudomonadati; Pseudomonadota; Gammaproteobacteria; Enterobacterales; Enterobacteriaceae
Description: partial 23S ribosomal RNA
Rfam family: Bacterial large subunit ribosomal RNA
Source: RNAcentral